RNAcentral lists this long non-coding RNA (1504 nucleotides) under Salmo salar (Atlantic salmon). RNAcentral describes it as "lncRNA (ENSSSAG00000109228.1)". The record is from RNAcentral. Lineage: Eukaryota; Metazoa; Chordata; Actinopteri; Salmoniformes; Salmonidae.
UGUUGGUUGUGAUAGUAGUAUUAAUGAUGAUUGUAGUGAUAGCAGCUCAGUGAUGGUGGUGGUAGUAGUAGAAUGAUGAUGGUAGUGAUAGCAGUUUAUUGAUGGUGGUUGUGGAAGUAGUUGUAAUGAUGAUUGUUGUGAUAGCAGGUUAGUGAUGGUGUUGGGAGUAUUAGUAAUGGUGAUGGUAGUGAUACCAGUUUAGUGAUGGUGGUGGUGGUAGUAGUAGAAUGAUGAUGGUAUUGAUAGCAGUUUAGUGAUGGUGGUGGUAGUUGUCGAAGUGAUGAUGGUAGUGAUAGCAGUUUAGUGAUGGUGGUGGUGGGAGUAGUAAUGAUGAUGGUAGUGACAGCAGUGGUGGUGGUAGAUGUAGUAAUGAUGAUGGUAGUGAUAGCAGUUUAGUGAUGGUGGUGGUAUUAUUAGAAUGAUGAUGGUAGUGAUAGCAGUUUAGUGAUGGUGGUGGUGGUAGUAGUAGUAAUGAUGAUGGUAGUGAUAGCAGUUUAGUGAUGGUGGUGGUGGAAGUAGAAGUGGAAGCAGUUUAGUGAUGCUGGUGGUGGUAGCAAUGAUGAUGGCAGUGAUAGAAGUUUAGUGAUGGUGGUGGUGGUAGUAGUAGUAAUGAUGAUGGUAGUGAUACCCGUUUACUGAUGGUGGUUGUGUAAGUAGUUGUAAUGAUGAUGGUAGUGAUAGCAGCUCAGUGAUGGUGAUGGUAGUAGUAGAAUGAUGAUGGUAGUGAUAGCAGUUUAGUGAUGGUGGUUGUGGAAGUAGUAGUAAUGAUGAUGGUAGUGAUAGCAGCUCAGUGAUGGUGGUGGUAGUAGUAUAAUGAUGAUGGUAGUGAUUGCAGUUUAGUGAUGGUGGUGGUAGUAGUAUUAAUGAUGAUUGUAGUGAUAGCAGGUUAGUGAUGGUGAUGGGAGUAUUAGUAAUGAUGAUGGUAUUGAUACCAGUUUAGUUAUGGUGGUGGUGGUAGUAGAGGUAUGAUGAUGGUAUUGAUAGCAGUUUAGUGAUGGUGGUGGUAGUUGUAGAAGUUGUGAUGGUAGUGAUAGCAGUUUAGUGAUGGUGGUGGUGGUGGUAGUAGUAAUGAUGGUGGUAGUGAUAGCUGUUUAGUGAUGGUGGUGGUAGUAGUAGUAAUGAUGACGGUAGUGAUAGCAGUUUAGUGAUGGUGGUGGUAGUAGUAGUAAAGAUGAUGGUAGUGAUAGCAGUUUUCUGAUGUUAGUGGUAGUAGUACUAAUGAUGACGGUAGUGAUAGCAGUUUAGUGAUGGCAGGGUGGUAGUAGUAGUAAUGAUGAUGGUUGUGAUAGCAGUUUAGUGAUGGUGGUGGUAGUAGUAUUAAUGAUGAUUGUAGUGAUAGCAGGUUAUUGAUGGUGAUUGGAGUAUUAGUAAUGAUGAUGGUAUUGAUACCAGUUUAGUUAUGGUGGUGGUGGUAGUAGAAGAAUGAUGAUGGUAUUGACAGCAGUUUAGUGAUGGUGGUGGUAGUUGUAGAAGUGGUGAUGGUAGUGAUAGCAGUUUAGUGAUG